GGUCCACACCUGCAGAGACCAGGAACAUGUCAGACUGAGACCAGAUUCAGAUCCUGGAUCUUUUCAGCUGUAAUUGACUUCUUUUCCCAGGAAGUUAUGUCAUUGGAAGAAACAGAGACACAGAUGGUUUUCAAACCACUUUGACUUCAGGAGAGACUCCAUCUUCUCAUUCGUCUUCUUACAGACCCUCACCGCACAGCUUGUCCUGGAACUGCAACCCAAACUGAUGGAUCAGGUCAAAGGAUUCCACCAGAAAGACAUGGUCCUCAAACGGUGGCGACGCCAUGGCCCUCAGUGAAGCCAUGUCGGCCCUGGCCACGCC
This is a long non-coding RNA of Cynoglossus semilaevis (tongue sole), 322 nucleotides long. RefSeq lists it as uncharacterized. Lineage: Eukaryota; Metazoa; Chordata; Actinopteri; Pleuronectiformes; Cynoglossidae. The transcript is spliced from 3 exons. The record is from RefSeq and is a predicted model, not a curated record.